UUGAGAAAAAAAAAUCCUUUUCAAUUCUGAUGGAUAAGAUUGGACUGCAACCAGCUGCUAUGAUCUUUUCUAUUGCACUUGAAACAUAUGAAGAAAGAAUUGUCAUUAUAAUUAUAUCAUGCAAAGCAAAAACUACAUUUAAGGGUUUGUAUUCACCUUUGUCACUGCUGGGUAAGGGAAUAGUUACUUGUAGAGAAAAUCAUAUGGCCAACCGAAUUUCUCAUGGAUUGUCUCUAUCAAUGCUCAAUGCAAAAUUCUCAGACCUAACUGAUGCAAUGGGUAAGCAAAUCUCAUGUGACCCAGCCACAUAAGCUACCUACACUCAGUGCCCCAGGAAGAAAAAUAGUGGUGUUUGUUUGCAUCAAAGUAGCAUCUUGUGUCCUAGCUUGAAUUUCCAUUCUUACCCAGGCAUGUAGCAGACAAAGGAAGCUACUAGUUUGAUGUCUGAAGUCACCAUUGCCACUACUCUAAGCACGGAAAUAGAUGCAAAUAUCAAAGCUGUAAUUGGUUUGUAAAUAUAGGUGAAAGCAAAUCAAAUCCAGAAGCAGCACAUGUACAGUCUCAUGGAUUGUGGAAAUCUACUAGCAUUAGCUUUUCACCAGCCAAGUUUCCAUUUAACCAGCAUGAUCUUUCCUUUUUAUUUAUUUUUUUAAUGUCUACGAUGCAUCCCUACUUAGUACAUCACCUUAGGGAAAGUACCACAUGGAUUGCAAUGCAUGCAUGCAAUAAAUUGAAUGCCUAUUGCAUAUUGUCAUGGAUUUAUAAUAGACACAGUUGUGUUUCAGGUUUAAACAUAGUAAUAUUGUACGAUAAUCACAAGACAAGGUAAAAGAAAUCCAUCAUGAGAAAAGGUCAAGAGAUAGUACCAGUACCAAAAUAAUUUAUAAACAAGACUAAAUGUAUACACCAGGAUAAGUUCUCUAGUCUAUCAAGCUCUAAAGAGAGAAAAUAAAAAUGCCUCUUGUAGUGGACAUACAUAAAGGACUAUUAAAGGGGGAAAUAUGUAUGACAAUACAGAGGACAAAUAAGCAAGAGAAUAUAAGUAGGAACAUCUGGACGACAAUAAAGUGAUGACUAUAUGCAUGAUAACAAUGCAUAAUGUAACAAAACAUGCACUGUAAUCAGAACUGCAUAAAUAAUGCGUGCAGGUGAAAGAGAUAAUUACCAAAGCAUACUUGUAGCUCUUGCAUGAUAGCUUCCUGCUUGGCUUGAGCACUUGGGUGAAGGUAGUUGUAGGUGAAGUCAUGAUCUAUGUUAGAAAUAUAAACCCUACCAUACCCUGGUGGAGGACUCCUAAGACUUGGUGUUUAUUCUUGGUGGAUUUCCUCUCCUUGAGUCUUCAAGACCUUACAGGUAAUUUUUCUUUGCUUUGGUGAAGUCCUCUACCUUGAAACCUUUAGAAUCACCUAAGGGGAGUUUGCCUAUUACAAGCACAAAGCAGAGCAGAUUGUGAAUCUAUAUUCUCAAAAAUGGCACGAGGAUGCCUAGUAUUUGGUUCUAACCCCUAAAAUCAUCAUUUGCAAGAUUGCUAGUAUCACCGUCCAUGGGUGUUGAUGUUAGCAAUACAGCAAAAAGUGGACAUCACUAUCUAUGGAAGAUGAUGUCAGCCAAAUAAACAAUUGAGUUAAAAAGGAACCUAAAAGGGGCUGCAAUGGCUUUCAUGUAUCAUAAGGCCAUUCUAAGAUGUAUACACUAGAUAUAUAUUAACUUGACUUGAAUUAUUUUUGGAUCGAAAUUACUCUUUACUAAUAUGCAUGACUACUUUCUGAGGUCAAUUUUCCCAUUGUGAUUCUCUUCUCAUGCAGUUUGCUAGUUCAUCUUGCAGGAUUCUCCUGCAUGCACAGGGAAUCCAAAAUAAUUCUAGAAACAGAAGAAUUGUAGCUCUUAUCUCAUGCAUUGACUUUUCCAAACUAUACCACCUUUCAAUGAGAUUUCAGCACCUUUGAUGACAAGAUCAAAAUCAGGGUCAGCAGUCAGACUAUAUCAGAAACAUCUAUAGUGUCGAAAAAAAUAUUUACCAGAUUUCAUCAACAUUUGCUUGGUCAAAGUUGGGAUGCUCAACUAAUGAAAAGCCAACACCAUGAUCAAUGAAAUGGUUCAUAAACAAUUGUUGAAUUUUAGCAGCCAUUCUUUCAUCACUCGUCCAAUCAUGUGAGCCAUCAUCAUCAAAUGUCUUUCCUUUCUUUAUGGCGUUUCAAGGACAUUACAUCUUUCUACC
Long non-coding RNA from Cryptomeria japonica (Japanese cedar), 2218 nucleotides. RefSeq lists it as uncharacterized. NCBI's taxonomy places the organism in Eukaryota, Viridiplantae, Streptophyta, Pinopsida, Cupressales, Cupressaceae. The transcript has 3 exons. The record is from RefSeq and is a predicted model, not a curated record.